GAACGCGAAGAACCUUACCAGGUCUUGACAUCCCUCUGACCGCUCUAGAGAUAGAGCUUUCCUUCGGGACAGAGGUGACAGGUGGUGCAUGGUUGUCGUCAGCUCGUGUCGUGAGAUGUUGGGUUAAGUCCCGCAACGAGCGCAACCCCUAUUGUUAGUUGCCAUCAUUCAGUUGGGCACUCUAGCGAGACUGCCGGUAAUAAACCGGAGGAAGGUGGGGAUGACGUCAAAUCAUCAUGCCCCUUAUGACCUGGGCUACACACGUGCUACAAUGGCUGGUACAACGAGUCGCAAGCCGGUGACGGCAAGCUAAUCUCUUAAGGCCAGUCUCAGUUCGGAUUGUAGGCUGCAACUCGCCUACAUGAAGUCGGAAUCGCUAGUAAUCGCGGAUCAGCACGCCGCGGUGAAUACGUUCCCGGGUCUUGUACACACC
Molecule: ribosomal RNA, 433 nt
Filed under: uncultured bacterium
Lineage: Bacteria
Description: bacterial SSU rRNA
Rfam family: Bacterial small subunit ribosomal RNA
Source: RNAcentral